Molecule: long non-coding RNA, 1256 nt
Organism: Gasterosteus aculeatus aculeatus (three-spined stickleback)
Lineage: Eukaryota; Metazoa; Chordata; Actinopteri; Perciformes; Gasterosteidae
Source: Ensembl
CUCUGACGUGCGAAACACAACAGCCAAUAGGAAAACACAACGAAAUUAACCUCUUACGGAGAGUGUAGGACCCUAUAAGCAGAGGACGGACCCUUCUGAUUGGACAGGCGGACUGUCUGUCAACAGGAAAUGAGGACUCGCUCGCUUGCUAGACCUUCAUUCCGCGCGAAAAUACGGCGAAAGAAAGAAUGUUUGUCGUCAAAAGUUGUUGGCGAACCAGCCGAUUUUUUGCAGUGGUUGUGGACAGAUACUUGGAAAAAGUCUGGAGUCUUUGGCUCAACCCACCAAUGGACCAACUUCAGUAUCACAGAAUGCUCCAUCCAACUCAACCCCAAGAUUUAAAACCUUUCUGGAAUACCGGAAGUAAAAAGGAGAGGAAAGGCAAAAGUUUUCCUUUGGCAAAAUGCAGGACAAGAAAAAGGAAAAGAGGAAAGUGCAGACGGACUUUGAAGAAGAUAUCCAUUUAUUUCUGUGGCUUGAUGUUUCACCUCUGAAACCUGGAAAAGUGUCUGACAUUUCUGACUCUGACACAGAGAUUGUGAUUAAAAAGAGCCCUCACAACAUUUGAGCUAGCUGACACGUUGCCAUGUGAACCUGUGCAUGAAAGCAGUGCAAUACAGAGGAUAUCCGUCCAAGUACCUCCGGAUGUCCUGGAAUGGCGAGAACAUAUUACAGCAACUACACAGACCUGUAUGCGCCUAUCGUCAGUGAUGACGACGAAGAUCUAACUGUCAAACAAAAUAAUGAGGCAUCUCCUAGAACCAAUCAAAGUCAGCAGAUUCCACGUGUCCAGAUCUAAUGUAUGGGAUGGUGCUGUCAGAGGUUUUCAGCGUUGCACGUACUCUGAGGAGAAUGACAUGUUUGUGAAGUUUACCGAUGACGCUGGCUCCCAUGAAGAAGGCCUAGACACCGGCGGGCCGAGGCGGGAAUUCCUCACGCUUCAGAUGAAUGAUCUGAUCUUUGACGGACCUCCAGAAAGCCGUUACCUGGUGUACAACUCUACAGAUUCAAAGAAGAACUUUUUGUUCGCACUCCAGCAGCAUCCGUGUGUGUUGGCCCCACUCUUGUGCCACUCUCAGACAAACCUUACAGCUGCCGACAUGGAAAGCCUGUUCACACCACUCCUCAGUCCAGCAGAAAGUAAUAGUCAGCAGAAAGAAGGCAAAGCUCUUGGAUUUUGGGCAGAUUUUCUUCUUGAUUGGGAAGGUUUGUUAUAGCUUUUUUAUAUGGUGUUUGUAAAAAGUGAACCAGCCCAG